ACUGGAAGAUGCUAAGAUGAAAAANGACAAUUUUCCGCAGGC
RNAcentral lists this transfer RNA (42 nucleotides) under Isurus paucus (longfin mako shark). RNAcentral's name for it is "partial tRNA-Phe". Lineage: Eukaryota; Metazoa; Chordata; Chondrichthyes; Lamniformes; Lamnidae. The record is from RNAcentral.